ACGGCUCAGUAACACGUGGAUAACCUGCCCAAGGGUCUGGGAUAACCCCGGGAAACUGGGGAUAAUACCGGAUGGAUCACUAGUGCUGGAAUGCUUGGUGGUCGAAAGGCAACGCCUUUGGAUGGGUCUGCGGCGGAUUAGGUUGACGCCGGUGUAACGUACCGGCGUGCCUGUAAUCCGUACGGGUUGUGGGAGCAAGAGCCCGGAGAUGGAUUCUGAGACACGAAUCCAGGCCCUACGGGGCGCAGCAGGCCCGAAAACUCUACAAUGCAGGCAACUGCGAUAGGGGGACAUCGAGUGGCAUCCACCUUGGGUGCCUGUCCAACCGUCUAAAAAACGGUUGUUAGCAAGGGCCGGGUAAGACCGGUGCCAGCCGCCGCGGUAAUACCGGCGGCUCGAGUGGUGGCCGAUAUUAUUGAGUCUAAAGGGUCCGUAGCCGGCUUUGCAAGUCCCCUGGGAAAUCCAGCGGCUUAACCGUUGGGCUUUCAUGGGAUACUACAUUGCUUGGGACUGGGAGAGGUAGGAGGUACUCGGGGGGUAGGGGUGAAAUCCUGUAAUCCUCCGGGGACCACCGGUGGCGAAGGCGUCCUACCAGAACAGAUCCGACGGUGAGGGACGAAAGCUAGGGGCACGAACCGGAUUAGAUACCCGGGUAGUCCUAGCCGUAAACGAUGCCCGCUAGGUGUCACGACGGUCGUGAAUCGUCGUGGUGCCGUAGGGAAGCCGCGAAGCGGGCCACUUGGGAAGUACGGCCGCAAGGCUGAAACUUAAAGGAAUUGGCGGGGGAGCAC
Molecule: ribosomal RNA, 791 nt
Filed under: uncultured archaeon
Lineage: Archaea
Description: bacterial SSU rRNA
Rfam family: Archaeal small subunit ribosomal RNA
Source: RNAcentral